Molecule: ribosomal RNA, 513 nt
Filed under: uncultured Lactobacillus sp.
Lineage: Bacteria; Bacillati; Bacillota; Bacilli; Lactobacillales; Lactobacillaceae
Description: bacterial SSU rRNA
Rfam family: Bacterial small subunit ribosomal RNA
Source: RNAcentral
GUGCCAGCCGCGGCGGUAAUACGUAGGUGGCAAGCGUUGUCCGGAUUUAUUGGGCGUAAAGCGAGCGCAGGCGGUUUUUAGGUCUGAUGUGAAAGCCUUCGGCUUAACCGGAGAAGUGCAUCGGAAACCGGGAGACUUGAGUGCAGAAGAGGACAGUGGAACUCCAUGUGUAGCGGUGAAAUGCGUAGAUAUAUGGAAGAACACCAGUGGCGAAGGCGGCUGUCUGGUCUGCAACUGACGCUGAGGCUCGAAAGCAUGGGUAGCGAACAGGAUUAGAUACCCUGGUAGUCCAUGCCGUAAACGAUGAGUGCUAAGUGUUGGAGGGUUUCCGCCCUUCAGUGCUGCAGCUAACGCAUUAAGCACUCCGCCUGGGGAGUACGACCGCAAGGUUGAAACUCAAAGGAAUUGACGGGGCCCGCACAAGCGGUGGAGCAUGUGGUUUAAUUCGAUGCUACGCGAAGAACUUACCAGGUCUUGACAUCUUCUGCCAACCUAAGAGAUUAGGCGUUCCCU